GUGCUCACUUCAGUAGCACAUAAACUAAAAUUGAAAUAAUACAGAUAAGAUUAGCUGGCCCCUGCUCAAAGAUGAAACAAAAAUUAAUUAAGUGUUCCAUAUUUUU
Dromiciops gliroides (monito del monte) is the source of this 106-nucleotide small nuclear RNA. The record is from RefSeq and is a predicted model, not a curated record. NCBI's taxonomy places the organism in Eukaryota, Metazoa, Chordata, Mammalia, Microbiotheria, Microbiotheriidae.